This 373-nucleotide ribosomal RNA is filed under the name uncultured organism. RNAcentral describes it as "bacterial SSU rRNA". It matches the Rfam family "Bacterial small subunit ribosomal RNA", at positions 526 to 896 of the family's 1533-position model. The record is from RNAcentral.
CGUAGGCGGCAAGCGUUGUCCGGAAUUAUUGGGCGUAAAGCGCGCGCAGGCGGUUCCUUAAGUCUGAUGUGAAAGCCCCCGGCUCAACCGGGGAAGGUCAUUGGAAACUGGGGAACUUGAGUGCAGAAGAGAAGAGCGGAAUUCCACGUGUAGCGGUGAAAUGCGUAGAGAUGUGGAGGAACACCAGUGGCGAAGGCGGCUCUUUGGUCUGUAACUGACGCUGAGGCGCGAAAGCGUGGGGAGCAAACAGGAUUAGAUACCCUGGUAGUCCACGCCGUAAACGAUGAGUGCUAAGUGUUAGAGGGUUUCCGCCCUUUAGUGCUGCAGCUAACGCAUUAAGCACUCCGCCGUGGGGAGUACGGCCGCAAGGCUG